CAGGGAAUAUUGCACAAUGGACGGAAGUCUGAUGCAGCGACGCCGCGUGGACGAAGAAGACCUUCGGGUUGUAGAGUCCUUUUCAGGGGGAAGAGAGAGGACGGUACCCUUGGAAUAAGCGUCGGCUAACUACGUGCCAGCAGCCGCGGUAAGACGUAGGACGUGAGCGUUAUCCGGAUUUACUGGGCGUAAAGCGUCUGUAGGCGGGACAGUAAGUUGGGCGUGAAAGCUUCGGGCUUAACCCGGAGAGGACGUACAAGACUGCUGAACUAGAGGCCACCAGAGGGGCGUGGAAUUUCCGGUGUAGCGGUAAAAUGCGCAGAUAUCGGAAGGAACACCAGUGGCGAAGGCGGCGCCCUGGGGUGGGCCUGACGCUAAGAGACGAAAGCUAGGGGAGCGAACAG
RNAcentral lists this ribosomal RNA (404 nucleotides) under uncultured bacterium. Its description in RNAcentral is "bacterial SSU rRNA". It matches the Rfam family "Bacterial small subunit ribosomal RNA", at positions 355 to 775 of the family's 1533-position model. The record is from RNAcentral.